This 1302-nucleotide long non-coding RNA is filed under the name Chrysemys picta bellii (western painted turtle). Its description in RNAcentral is "lncRNA (ENSCPBG00000004599.1)". The record is from RNAcentral. Lineage: Eukaryota; Metazoa; Chordata; Testudines; Emydidae.
CUUUAAUCUACUAAUUCGUUUCUCUCUCUCUCUUAGCUCCUUCCUUUUCUUUUUUACUCCUUACUUCGUAUCACCCGCUAUUUGGAGCAGCACCCAGUUAUCUUUGUCCAAGUUGCUUGCCUCUCUUCCUUAAAAAUAAUUUUUUAAAAAUCUCCCUUCCCCUACAUAUUUUGUAAAGUGUCCUGCUCUAAUGCUCAUAUGCAGUUUUGUGGCUGUACUGUAAUAGCUGCUGCUGCCUCUAAAUAGGGUUACCAGAGAGCAACUGUGAAAAAACGGCACGAGGGGGUAGGGGAUCGGGCGGGGGGGGGGGGGGAAUAGGUGCCUAUAUAAGAAAAAUUCCCAAAAAACAGGACUGUCCCUUUAAAAAUGGGGCAUCUGGUCACCCUAUCUCUAAAUCAUAAACUUUUGGGGCAGGGUACCUGUUUGGUACCCUUCACUUAUGUUACAGAGCUGUGUUUCUGUUUUGUUUAAAUAUAUGUAUGUGUGUGUGUGUUUGUUUAUAAACAUAAAGCUAAAAGUACAAUUUUUAUGCCUAUCUUUAUAGCUAAAUCUUUCAGACCAUGUUUUUGUUUGUUGUUCGUUUGUUUUUGCUAGGUGCCUGUGGUGUCACACCAAGGUUAAAAUCUGCUGCCUUAAGUGCGGAAGAUGCAACGAAGAAUUACUUUCCUCCUGGGACCACUGUGAGUUAUGUCUGUCGUCCAGGAUAUGAGAGCACCGAACUGAGACCUGUCAUUACUUGUCUUGAGAAUUCAACAUGGUCAGAAGCCACUGAGUUCUGUCGAGCAGGUCUCUUCUGUUUGGCAUGUGGACAUGGUGAGUGUCUGAUGGUGUGUGCUGUCUGGUAAUAAGUGCCUGGCACCAGAGGAACCAUCACAAAUAAUUCCCUGUACCAGGUAGGAGGAGUCUCUGCCAUUGAAGUUGACAAAGUGAUAGAAUUUAACACUUAAUAUGGACAUAAGAAUAUCCACAGUUAAAUAGGAAAAAAACCCCAGAGAGGAGAGUGAACUAACUGCACUGCUAGUCUGCCAUUGCCAUAGUCCAGGGAUGGCCAAAUGUACUGACGCUUUGAGCCGCAUACAACAAUCAAGAGCCGGAGCAGCAGGCACCUGCUGGGGCUCAGGGCUUCAGCCCCACUCCUGCUAAAGCCCUGAGACCCGCCACCCUGCUGGGCAGAAGCCCACCAGCCUGGUCCAAGACUGAGGUCCCAAGAUUUCUCCCCACCCCACCGCAAGUCUGGUAGGGGGGCUCCGUGAGCUGCACUUUCACUCUAAAAGAGCCACAUGUGGCUCGCGAGCCACAGUU